UACGAAGGGGGCUAGCGUUGUCCGGAUUUAUUGGGCGUAAAGAGCGUGUAGGCGGCUGGGUAGGUCCGUUGUGAAAACUCGAGGCUCAACCUCGAGACGCCGAUGGAAACCCUCCAGCUAGAGUCCGGAAGAGGAGAGUGGAAUUCCUGGUGUAGCGGUGAAAUGCGCAGAUAUCAGGAAGAACACCCGUGGCUAAGGCGGCUCUCUGGGACGGUACUGACGCUGAGACGCGAAAGCGUGGGGAGCGAACAGG
RNAcentral lists this ribosomal RNA (253 nucleotides) under uncultured bacterium. RNAcentral describes it as "partial 16S ribosomal RNA". It matches the Rfam family "Bacterial small subunit ribosomal RNA", at positions 524 to 776 of the family's 1533-position model. The record is from RNAcentral.